GUUAGCUCAUUUGGUAGAGCGCUCCGCUGAAAAUGAAGAGGUCCCUGAAUCGAUAUCAGGAC
This 62-nucleotide transfer RNA is filed under the name Ixodes scapularis (black-legged tick). It matches the Rfam family "tRNA", at positions 6 to 65 of the family's 71-position model. From Rfam's summary of the family: Transfer RNA (tRNA) molecules are approximately 80 nucleotides in length. Lineage: Eukaryota; Metazoa; Arthropoda; Arachnida; Ixodida; Ixodidae. The record is from Rfam by way of RNAcentral.